GCUUACUAAAAGUCAUUUAUUAUUUCAUUAUUUCACUUUUGAUAAUUGAACAAUUUUCAAUUGUUUUUUUCAUAUCUUAUAGCUAGUGCCCCUUUAUUAUUGACUUUACUGCUUGUUUAUGGUAGUAGUACAUUUUGUAUUUAAAUGUAAGCCAUUGUCAUUUCACUGUUAUGCAUUAUACAUGUAUUAAUUCAUGAUUCGGAUAUUCAAGUGACUGUCCAUGUUUAUUUUUAUGCCCCACCUACGAUAGUAGAGAGGCAUUAUGUUUUCUGGUCUGUGCGUCCAUUCGUCCCUCUGUCUGUCUGUCCGUUUGUUCGUCUGUUCGUUCGUCCGUCUGUCCCGCUUCAGGUUAAAGUUUUUGGUCAAGGUGGUUUUUGAUGAAGUUGAAGUCCAAUCAACUUGAAACUUAGUACACUGUUCCUUAUGAUAUAUCUUCUAAUUUUAGAGCCAAAUUAAACUUUUGACCCCAAUUUCACGGUC
Molecule: long non-coding RNA, 480 nt
Filed under: Mytilus galloprovincialis (Mediterranean mussel)
Lineage: Eukaryota; Metazoa; Mollusca; Bivalvia; Mytilida; Mytilidae
Source: RNAcentral